GGUUCGAUUAUGGCUCAGACGCUGGCGGGAUGCUUUUUCAUAUCGCAAGUCGAACGGCAGCACGGACUUCGGUCUGGUGAAGAGUGGCGAACGGGUGAGUAAUGUAUCGGAACGCCUAAGUAGCGGGGGAUAACUACGCGAAAGCGUAGCUAAUACCGCAUACCCUUCGGGGGAAAGCGGGGACCUUCGGGCCUCGCACUAUUAGAGCGGCCGAUAUCGGAUUAGCUAGUUGGUAGUAACGGCUCACCAAGGCGACGAUCCGUAGCUGGUUUGAGAGGACGACCAGCCACACCGGACCGAGACACGGCCCGACUCCUACGGGAGGCAGCAGUGUGAAUUUUGGACAAUGGGGGAAACCCUGAUCCAGCCAUCUCCGCGUGUGCGAUGAAGGCCUUCGGUUGUAAAGCACUUUUGCAAGUGAAAGAAACGGCACGGGAUAAUACCCGCAACUGACGGUAAUGCAGAAUAAGCACCGCCACCAUGCCAGCAGCUGCGGUAGGGUGCGCGUUAAUCGGAAUUACUGGGCGUAAAGCGUGUGCAGGCGGUUCGAAAGCAAAGAUGUGGAAAUCCCAGAGCCGAAUCUCGGAACUGCAUUUUUAAAUUACCGGGAGCUAGAGUGAAGCCAGAGGGAGGUGGAAUCGCGGGUAAAGGUGAAAUGCGUGGAUAUGCGAUGUUCAUCAUGGCGAAGGCAGCCUCCCGGGAUAACACUGACGCUCAUGCACGAAAGCGGGAGCAAACAGGAUUAGAUAAUUCAGAACACGCCCCAACGAUGUCAUUCAGGUUGCUAGCCUUCCGGGCCUGCAGUAGCUAAUGGCAAGCGGACCGCUCGGGGAGCACGUGAAGAUUAAAACUCAAAGGAAUUGACGGGGAUCUCGCCACAAGCGGUGAUGAUGUGGAUUAAUUUGAUAAACGAAACCCAGUUCUACCUUAUACAGCCUCGAACUCGAAGAGAUUGCAGUGUCGUGCAGGAACUUCUCAAACACAGGUGCCAAAGGGCUGGUCGCCGUCGUGUCGUAGAUGUUGGGUUAAGUCCCGCAACGAGCGCAACCCUUGCGGUCAUUAGUUGCAGCAUGAAAGGGCACUUAGAUCGAGAUUCGCUGCGACAAACCGGAGGAAGGUGGGUGAUGACGUCGUCCGCGUACCCUUGCGUGGCAGGGGCUUCAUUAUCGGGUCAUGGCGGUAAUGGUCGGGACAGAGGCCGCUAACCCGCGAGGGGAGCCAGAACCAGAAAACCGACUUAAACCGGGAUCGCAGUCUGCAACUCGACCGCGUGAAGCUCUGAAUCGCUAGUAACGCGAGAUCAGCAUGUCAGUGAAUACGUUCCCGGGUCUAAAGCCACACCUCCGCCCGUCACACCAUGGGCGGGUUUUACCAAAGAAGCAGUUGAAUCUAAACCGUAGUGAGGCACGUCGCAGAUGUGACUAGCAAGAUCGUAACAGGUAAUUCGUUACCACCAGCUCAUAUGCUGGAGUCUGGCCGUUAUU
This 1484-nucleotide ribosomal RNA is filed under the name uncultured Bordetella sp. RNAcentral describes it as "partial 16S-23S ribosomal RNA intergenic spacer". It matches the Rfam family "Bacterial small subunit ribosomal RNA". The record is from RNAcentral. Lineage: Bacteria; Pseudomonadati; Pseudomonadota; Betaproteobacteria; Burkholderiales; Alcaligenaceae.